Molecule: ribosomal RNA, 274 nt
Filed under: uncultured bacterium
Lineage: Bacteria
Description: partial 16S ribosomal RNA
Rfam family: Bacterial small subunit ribosomal RNA
Source: RNAcentral
AUACGAAGGGGGCUAGCGUUGUUCGGAAUUACUGGGCGUAAAGCGCGCGUAGGCGGACUGAUCAGUUGGGGGUGAAAUCCCAGGGCUUAACCCUGGAACUGCCUCCAAUACUGUCAGUCUUGAGUUCGGGAGAGGUGAGUGGAAUUCCUAGUGUAGAGGUGAAAUUCGUAGAUAUUAGGAAGAACACCAGUGGCGAAGGCGGCUCACUGGCCCGAUACUGACGCUGCGGCGCGAAAGCGUGGGGAGCAAACAGGAUUAGAAACCCUAGUAGUCC